Long non-coding RNA from Camelus dromedarius (Arabian camel), 2840 nucleotides. RefSeq lists it as uncharacterized. The record is from RefSeq and is a predicted model, not a curated record. Lineage: Eukaryota; Metazoa; Chordata; Mammalia; Artiodactyla; Camelidae. The transcript has 3 exons.
UUAUUUCCGCGUAGAACCUGUGGUGAGGUCGUCUGGCUAGGCAGCGUGACUAUUUUAAGCCACCGUGGUUAAACUAUGCUACUGAGGUCAGAAACCUACAUGUAGCAAUUUUAAAGUGAAUAAUUCUUACUGAAGAAAGAUGUCACCAACUGAACGGCAAAGGAUACUAACAUUGACCUGCAGAAGGUUUUGGUUUUUAUUCAGACACAGAAAUGUAGAAACACCCUGGGUUGGUCCUUAUUCUCAACUCAGAAGACUUUUGAAGACAAUGAGUCACACUUACUUCAGGGUCAACUGCUCUGCUUUAUAUCUAGGACAGGACUCUGCAAUACAGCAGGUGUGAAAUAAAUGCUUACUGAAGGAAAGAGCAAGAAGAAGCCAGCAGGGCCCAAAAACAAGUCAUCCACGUGUAUGGGAGCUCCCCACAUACCUGUAACAGCUCGUCACGGGAGAUCUUGUCAUCUUUAUCCAAGUCGUACAGUCGAAAAGCAACUGGUAGGAAAAAACAAGAAGUCAGUAGAAAUUCAGUAGUGUUUUGCCCCUUCUCAAGGAACUAAAUAUAUAAAGGACACCAGACAGAAAACUGACAAUGAAUGAAUAGUUUUUCCAAGAGCGACUGCCAUUAGUUGUAGAGCUUUUGAAAACACUGUAACAUUUAAGAAACUGAGAUGCAUCUUAGCUUCGAUGAAAUAUGGCCCUUCAUCAGACAAAUCAGAAAACUUAAUAAAAAGUCCAAUGUCCUCUUUAACUUAGAAUGUUAAAAAACAAAACAAAACAAAAAACCCAUUAAAUGGUUCUGUCCACUAGGCCAUCUCACACAGCCCAUCCAGUCUACUGUGCACCACACUUGAGGGAAGCUGACGGUGGGAGCCAUACAGGUUCUACACAAAGUAUGGACUGAACAGUUGAUACACAAAGUAUCGCUUUGGAAAAUGACUACUUCAGCAAAUUCAGGUCAAGUUUCAGAUAACCCUCUAGCAUUUGGGAGUCCUGAAGGUAAAGAACUUCAGUUUCAAAUAAAAAUGCCAAGAAUGUGAUGGUGUCCUGGCCUUAUCAUGUUUCUCUCUCUCUAACAACAAAGAAGUCUUUUAGAAACUAGGAUAUCUAAGAUAGAAAAUCACUCAGUGCCAUGUUGCUGAAGGGCUACCAACUGAAUAGUGUGAUAACAUGUUAUAAACACUGUGAGAAAUCAUACUGAGGAAGUGACUGCCCUGUAAUUACAGCUCAAUUUGGUGUAGUUUUGAAGCUCUGAAUGACUUCAAGUACACCACUAAGAUUUUUGGUUUCAGUAAGGUGCUGCCAGUACUGAAAGGCCCAAAUCCACUGCUCCAGAGUUAUUAAGAGACACAGAUUUAGAUCUGGUCCUGGGACCUUGGAACUCACAAUCUAGUAGAGAGCAACACACAGUACACAUUUUAAUUCAUUCUAAGUGCUAUCAUACUUAUGAAAUGCUGGGGAACAAAGUGUAUGGCUGAUGUGCCUUUCUGGUUCAAGUACUAUCUGAACAAGGUCUUGAAAGACAAACAGAAAUCUGAUGAAAAGUGGCAUUCCAGGCUAUAUGGUCAGGACACUUAAGAUGGCUGUCCUCUUGCUCUCAGUACAUCCCCUGCUCAACCAGUGCCUGCCUCACCUAACCUACUCACAUGACUGACCUUCCUAUACACUUGCCCCAAACUCCAGCUAGUGGCUGUUCUUAUCAAAGGAAGAGGCGUUUGAGGGGUGUGCCCCCCUGCUGGUUUCCCUGGUAACCAAUGAGCCAAUCUGACAUCAAUUCCCCCUAUAACUGCUAACCUCCCCUUCCCCUGGGAGCAAAGACUGCGCUGUGUCUCGCCCACCAUCCACUGCAUAUGGCUGAGAGUCGUUCCAGGACCUGGCUUUAGACAUGUAAGCUCCCCCAUACAUUAAACCACUGAUGUCUCAAUGCUGGAGAGGCUGUGGAGAAAAGGGAUCCCUUCUACACUGCUGGUGGGAAUGCAGUUUGGUGCAGCCACUGUGGAAAACAGGAUGGAGAUUCCUCAAAAGACUAGGAAUAGACUUACCAUAUGACCCAGGAAUCCCGCUCCUGGGCAUAUAUCCAGAAGGAACCCGACUUCAAAAAGACACCUGCACCCCAAUGUUCAGAGCAGCCCUAUUUACAAUAGCCAAGACAUGGAAACAGCCUAAAUGUUCAUCAACAGAUGACUGGAUAAAGAAGAUGUGGUAUAUUUAUACAAUGGAAUACUAUUCAGCCAUAAAACCUGACAACAUAACACCAUUUGCAGCAACAUGGAUGUUCAUGGAGAAUGUCAUUCUAAGUGAAGUAAGCCAGAAAGAGAAAGAAAAAUAGCUCAUAUGUGGAAUCAAAAAGAAAAAAAAAAAAGAACAUAAAUACAAAACAGAAGCAGACUCAAAGACAUAGAAUACAGACUUGUGGUUGCCAAGGGGGCGGGGGUGGGAAGGGACAGACUGUGAUUUCAAAAUGUAGACUAGAUAAACAAGAUUAUACUGUAUAGCAGAGGGAAAUAUAUACAAGAACUUGUGGUAGCUCACAGCGAAAAAAAAAUGUGACAAUGAAUAUUAUGUAUGUUCAUGUAUAACUGAAAAAUUGUGCUCUACACUGGAAUUUGACACAACAUUGUAAAAUGACUAUAACUCAGUAAAAAAAAAGUUUAAAAAACCCCCCAAAACCCAGCACUGAUGGUUCUAACUUCAAGACCAACUCUAAAUCCACUCCUUUAUUUGGGACCCCACUUGUCCUGAAUGGCAGUGAGAUAAUUUUCCAAGCUUGUUGGAAACAUACUGUCAAUAAAAAUGUCACUAGCAGGAGGGAAAAAAAAAAGAAAAGAAAAAAAAAAAACCCA